RNAcentral lists this ribosomal RNA (740 nucleotides) under Parachtes sp. crba001307. Its description in RNAcentral is "SSU rRNA". It matches the Rfam family "Eukaryotic small subunit ribosomal RNA", at positions 984 to 1742 of the family's 1831-position model. Lineage: Eukaryota; Metazoa; Arthropoda; Arachnida; Araneae; Dysderidae. The record is from RNAcentral.
CGAAAGUUAGAGGUUCGAAGGCGAUCAGAUACCGCCCUAGUUCUAACCAUAAACGAUGCCAACUAGCGAUCCGCCUGAGUUCCUCAAAUGACUCGGCGGGCAGCUUCCGGGAAACCAAAGUGUUUGGGUUCCGGGGGAAGUAUGGUUGCAAAGCUGAAACUUAAAGGAAUUGACGGAAGGGCACCACCAGGAGUGGAGCCUGCGGCUUAAUUUGACUCAACACGGGAAAACUUACCCGGCCCGGACACUGGAAGGAUUGACAGAUUAAGAGCUCUUUCUUGAUUCAGUGGGUGGUGGUGCAUGGCCGUUCUUAGUUGGUGGAGCGAUUUGUCUGGUUAAUUCCGAUAACGAACGAGACUCUAGCCUACUAAAUAGGCGUUCCGAUCCUUUAUGUCGGACGUUCUUCUUAGAGGGACAAGCGGCUUUUAGCCGCACGAGACAGAGCAAUAACAGGUCUGUGAUGCCCUUAGAUGUCCGGGGCCGCACGCGCGCUACACUGAAGGAAUCAGCGUGUGCUUUCCCUGUCUGGUAGGACUGGGUAACCCGUUAAACCUCCUUCGUGAUAGGGAUAGGGAUUUGUAAUUGUUCCCUUGAACGAGGAAUUCCCAGUAAGCACGAGUCAUAAGCUCGUGUUGAUUACGUCCCUGCCCUUUGUACACACCGCCCGUCGCUACUACCGAUUGAAUGAUUUAGUGAGGUCUUCGGACUGGCGCUCGUAGCGACCUUNGGCCGCGCCGACG